This 252-nucleotide ribosomal RNA is filed under the name uncultured bacterium. Its description in RNAcentral is "partial small subunit ribosomal RNA". It matches the Rfam family "Bacterial small subunit ribosomal RNA", at positions 26 to 285 of the family's 1533-position model. The record is from RNAcentral.
AGGACGAACGCUGGCGGCGUGCUUAACACAUGCAAGUCGAGCGGAAAGGCCCUUCGGGGUACUCGAGCGGCGAACGGGUGAGUAACACGUGAGCAAUCUGCCUUUAGCUCUGGGAUAGCUCCGGGAAACCGGGAUUAAUACCGGAUAAGACCACUUUAGACAUCUGUUGUGGUGGAAAGAAUUUCGGCUAGAGAUGAGCUCGCGGCCUAUCAGCUUGUUGGUGGGUAACGCCCACCAAGGCGACGACGGGUA